CAAAUACUCCCUCCGUUCGGAAAUACUUGUCAUCAAAAUGGAUAAAAGGAAAUGUAUCUAGACGUAUUUUAGUUUUAGAUACAUCUCUUUUUAUCCAUUUUGAUGACAAGUAUUUUCGCACAAGAGUUGGUGAUGA
Molecule: non-coding RNA, 136 nt
Organism: Triticum aestivum (bread wheat)
Lineage: Eukaryota; Viridiplantae; Streptophyta; Magnoliopsida; Poales; Poaceae
Source: Rfam